RNAcentral lists this ribosomal RNA (232 nucleotides) under Alcaligenes faecalis. Its description in RNAcentral is "partial 16S ribosomal RNA". It matches the Rfam family "Bacterial small subunit ribosomal RNA", at positions 1133 to 1365 of the family's 1533-position model. The record is from RNAcentral. Lineage: Bacteria; Pseudomonadati; Pseudomonadota; Betaproteobacteria; Burkholderiales; Alcaligenaceae.
GAGCACUCUAAGGAGACGCCGGUGACAAACCGGAGGAAGGUGGGGAUGACGUCAAGUCAUCAUGGCCCUUAUGGGUAGGGCUACACACGUCAUACAAUGGUCGGGACAGAGAGUAGCCAACCCGCGAGGGCGAGCCGGAUAUUAGAAACCUAAUCGUAGUCCGGAUCGCAGUCUGCAACUCGACUCCGUGAGUGGAAUCGCUGUAUCGGGGAUCAGAAUUCGCGGUGAUACG